Molecule: ribosomal RNA, 429 nt
Filed under: grassland soil clone saf2_113
Lineage: Bacteria
Description: bacterial SSU rRNA
Rfam family: Bacterial small subunit ribosomal RNA
Source: RNAcentral
AACACAUGCAAGUCGAACGGUGAAGCCCUUCGGGUGGAUCAGUGGCGAACGGGUGAGUAACACGUGAGCAACCUGCCCUUGGCUCUGGGAUAACUCCGGGAAACCGGUGCUAAUACUGGAUAUUCACAUUCUGUCGCAUGGUGGUUUGUGGAAAGUUUUUCGGCCAGGGAUGGGCUCGCGGCCUAUCAGCUUGUUGGUGGGGUGAUGGCCUACCAAGGCGACGACGGGUAGCCGGCCUGAGAGGGCGACCGGCCACACUGGGACUGAGACACGGCCCAGACUCCUACGGGAGGCAGCAGUGGGGAAUAUUGCGCAAUGGGCGAAAGCCUGACGCAGCGACGCCGCGUGAGGGAUGAAGGCCUUCGGGUUGUAAACCUCUUUCAGCAGGGAAGAAGCGAGAGUGACGGUACCUGCAGAAGAAGCACCGGC